AUGCAGAGGAUGAAAACGAGCACCUCAGCCAAAAAAUGUUAUAAAUUUACAGACGAAAUGUAUUUAGUUUUGCGCACGUUCUUUUUGCAUCGUCAUGACCGUGAUAUUGAAGUUGUGAGGCAAACAACUUUGAACAUCGUUGAAUCAGGUGCAUCUAGCUGCGCCAACAGUCGUUGAGUUCAGAUUCUAUGCAAAUAGUAAAUUUAGAGGCGUAUCUUCUUAUUUUCUACACAACGUCCUUCACAACAUGAGUGGAAAUUUUGCUACGAGCUAGCUCGCACUGGUUGGAUGCAAACAUCAAGUUUUUAGAAGCAAAAUUUGUAACAUUAAAAAUUUUUAAAAAAUAUAUUUUUCAGGCACAAAACUCUCCUUAUUUUGAAAAUAGAGUUUUUGAGUUUUUAAAUGUUCUAGGUGAAUACAUACAUACUGGCACAAUACAUGUUCUCCUAAUUCUGAUUAUCAAAGUUCACAUAAGCUAUGCAUGGAAAAUCAAUUGAUACAUAUACAUUUUUUUAAGCAGGAGGCUGCCAGUGUCACUGGAAAAAAAGUAUGGUCAUAUGAACCAAACGUUCGGUUUAUAUGACCGAUAACUUACAGCUAGUUCGUUGGUACACUUUAUCGAGCGAGUUGGGUUACUCACCGAGUACCCAACCCGAACCGAGUCAGUUGGGUAGAUAUGAAACACCGAGCGUCAGUUCAUCCGACUGAACUUUUUCUCUUCGUGUAUUGGUAGACCUUUACAUUUAAGAGGAAGUGGCAAAAUCCAGAGUUACACAAAUUUAAAAAUAGAGCCUCAAAUGAAAAUUUAACAAAAGUAUCAACACAAGAAUAAAGGGUUACUUAAAUUUCGUUAGGCUCUCCGGGUACUAUGACCUUGUUAGUAUCUUCUAAUAUCUUGUUCAACCAUGUUUAGACCUCUACUUUUUCAGCUUUGACGAUACAGCGUCGUCCGUAGCUCGGUUAAAAUUUUUCAUCGUACAGAUCUUCUUUGUGAAAGGUCCUGUCCUUGACACCAACGUGCCUUUUAUCACCACCAUUGUUUCGUCCAAAUUUUUUAAUACUCCCACCUCUUUCUUUUCUAACUGCCCGAAAAUUUCUUAAAUGGCUCGCGAAACUAGCCGAAUGACCACAAAUAUAGAAGAUAAUAAUUGAGACUACCAAUAAAAAAACAAAAUUGGGCGUUGCCAUUCUACACGACGUGAAAAUCAGCAAUGAUGCACACAGAUGUUGCUCCGAAUUUACCGACAAAAUAUAUUAAGUUUCGCAUAAGUCCUAUGCGC
RNAcentral lists this long non-coding RNA (1280 nucleotides) under Bemisia tabaci. Its description in RNAcentral is "lncRNA ENSSSA3NGG014106". The record is from RNAcentral. Lineage: Eukaryota; Metazoa; Arthropoda; Insecta; Hemiptera; Aleyrodidae.